This 73-nucleotide transfer RNA is filed under the name Diaphorina citri (Asian citrus psyllid). It matches the Rfam family "tRNA". From Rfam's summary of the family: Transfer RNA (tRNA) molecules are approximately 80 nucleotides in length. Their secondary structure includes four short double-helical elements and three loops (D, anti-codon, and T loops). The record is from Rfam by way of RNAcentral. Lineage: Eukaryota; Metazoa; Arthropoda; Insecta; Hemiptera; Psyllidae.
GCCUAGUUAGCUUAGUUGGUAGCGCGUCUGCCUUGUAAGCGCUAGACCGCGGGUUUGAUUCCCGCCCGGGGCG